CAAAUACUUGGUUACUCGUAGCUUUCGACAAGUUGCUUAUUUACCCAGCGCACAGCAUCGAUUCCGACAACACUCCUGCAUACUGCGAAGCAUUCCGACACACCUCGUCUGGUAGUAUCGAUGCCGUAAAGGAUCGAAUAGCCUUUCUUUGAACACUAUGGCCAUGGUGUCCCGCGAGGUAUUUGCUGGGAAUCAGACGCGUUGCCGCACGCUUGUUCCGAGGUGCGCCACGCUUAUUCCGCCGGUGCCGGCGAAAGCGUUCAUCCGUCGGCUCGGAGACGGUUAGAGCCGAAUGACCCCAGCCAGUGACGACACACGUAGAAGACAACGGCGUGGAGGAGAACCACGGGAGACAAACGGCCUGGACCUCCUUCCUAAAGAGAAUGGGUUGUCGCAGUCUAAUCAGACCAAAGUCGUUAGCACGCAAAGGCUUGUUGAAUUCCGGAUGCAUGUAUAAUCCAGCUGCUUGAUAAUCAGUCUGACUGGCCUCCAGGUUUUGCAGUAGAUUGUGCUCACCAACACGAACGAUCAUGUUGUUGAGCCGGCCAUGCUCCCUAGUGUAGAAAUAUUUAGAAUUGUAUUUGUCAAGGCGAUUAUGUUUCGGAUAUCAGUGAAAAGAUUUUGGCAUACUUUGUGGAAUACUCGGCUAAACAAUGUGCAGCCGUAAGAAUCCAAAAUGGAUGGAUUAUUGAGCCUGAAGGUCAGACCAGACAGCUUAAAAAAGCACUUCAAAAUGGAUACAAAUCAGCAAGGCGAAUGAAAGGAGUGCAGUUUUAAAACUGCACUCAUGAAAGCAGUACUGUACCUCCGCAAAACUGAGUUUCUUGACUAUUGUCAAUGAGUGCAAUCUGCCAUGGCCAUGAAUGGGGUCUGACCGUCUGCCCAAAAAUGAUCUUGCUGACCAGCUCGCUGGGAGGAAUCGAAGGGACACCACAUUCUGUCAACAGUUCUACGUACUUACGUUGAGCACAAAAUUUCUCGUCGGAACCGUUAAUACAGUGCGGGAUGCCAUCGCACAAAUAUUCAGGAAGCAUGCAGCCAUCUUUCUCCGGACAGGCUACCGCUCCUUUCCGACAUAACGGAACUGUUAAACAGAACAAUAAUUAUUUGUAUUUAUUCCGUCAACUGUAUGACUUUUUUUAAAAACUGUUUUGCAGAAAGUCAAAAACGACUAGAAACUGUAUAACAACCAGGCUGAUAGUGUAAGUGUUACUCGUUUCCAUUUCUC
Long non-coding RNA from Paramacrobiotus metropolitanus, 1228 nucleotides. RefSeq lists it as uncharacterized. The record is from RefSeq and is a predicted model, not a curated record. Lineage: Eukaryota; Metazoa; Tardigrada; Eutardigrada; Parachela; Macrobiotidae. The transcript has 3 exons.